RNAcentral lists this ribosomal RNA (407 nucleotides) under uncultured bacterium. RNAcentral describes it as "bacterial SSU rRNA". It matches the Rfam family "Bacterial small subunit ribosomal RNA", at positions 355 to 776 of the family's 1533-position model. The record is from RNAcentral.
UGGGGGAUAUUGCGCAAUGGGGGGAACCCUGACGCAGCAACGCCGCGUGAAGGAAGAAGGUUUUCGGAUUGUAAACUUCUGUUCUUGGUGAAGAAAGAAAUGACGGUAGCCAAGGAGAAAGCUCCGGCUAACUACGUGCCAGCAGCCGCGGUAAUACGUAGGGAGCAAGCGUUGUCCGGAAUUACUGGGUGUAAAGGGUGCGUAGGCGGCUAAACAAGUCAGACGUGAAAUAUAUAGGCUUAACCUGUAGACUGCGUUUGAAACUGUAUAGCUUGAGUGGAGUAGAGGCAGAUGGAAUUUCCAGUGUAGCGGUGAAAUGCGUAGAUAUUGGAAGGAACACCAGUGGCGAAGGCGAUCUGCUGGGCUCUAACUGACGCUGAGGCACGAAAGCGUGGGUAGCAAACAGG